Molecule: long non-coding RNA, 263 nt
Filed under: Pan troglodytes (chimpanzee)
Lineage: Eukaryota; Metazoa; Chordata; Mammalia; Primates; Hominidae
Description: long non-coding RNA NONPTRT009484
Source: RNAcentral
AAAAACACAUUGUGAACCACUGCUGUAAAAAAUUCAAAAGAACAAAAGGCAAAUGCAAACUGGAAAAUGUACCAGCAAUAAGUUAACAGUAAGUAUCCCUAAAAUCAAAAGCAUGAUCAUUAAGAGGAGGGACUCACAGGCCCUGAAUUUGCUCCCCAGCUCCAUCCCUUACUAGCUGUGUGACCUGGGGCAGGCUACCGAACCUACCUGUAAAUAAUUUAGAAUAGUUAUUGGCAUCUAGUAAGGGUUCAAUGAGAAACUUU